This 843-nucleotide long non-coding RNA is filed under the name Sinocyclocheilus grahami. RNAcentral describes it as "lncRNA (ENSSGRG00000002125.1)". Lineage: Eukaryota; Metazoa; Chordata; Actinopteri; Cypriniformes; Cyprinidae. The record is from RNAcentral.
CGGCACUCUAUAGCUUUUGUUUCCAUAGCAACUACGGUGGACGCGAAUGUACAAACAUGAGGUGAACAGAGAAGAAGGACGAAAUGUGUUUAUGCUCUGUCGUCAUCAUUAGUAUUUUUAUACCGUUGCAAUGACACCGAUAUAGUUUACUUCAGCCUCUACUGUUGCUUCGCUCACAAAUACCCCGUUUUCCCAGGGCGUUGGUAGAUUUGUUCCCGGACUUAUAAUGAUGGAUGACAUCGAACAGGCAAUAGAUGAGGAGCUGAUGAAAUUAAACCUACAUCCUUCUGAAAAUGAUUCAGAAUCAGACGAUGAUAACUUCACUGUUUUGGAUGGAAAUCUGCAUGCAGAAAAUGAGCUGCCUGACUCAGUACUCACAUAUGUUGAAGCUUCAAGAAAUCGAAUGAAUACCUUUGAACAAUUAAUCCUUGAAGAUGUUGAAGAAAAGGACUUCUCAAGCCAGAACCUGUCUCACCUUAAUCACAAUGAACCAGCUUCAGUUUUCACAGACGACCCCAUGAAGUGGAAAGACCGAGUUAUCUCUGAAUUAGUGGAACAAGUUGGACAUCUAAAUGACAUUGAGCCACAGAAUGCCCAGUGGGAGAUUCCAAAUAUGUCAGGCAUGGAAGAUUAUAUAUGCCCUGAGAGUGAACUGCAACUUAGUCUUGAGUGGAGAGAAUUAGAGAAAAGACUGAGAGAGGAAGAAGAGCAGAAAUUAGCAGCACAGGAGGUAGAAAGAGAGCUGCAUCAGAACUCAGAAAGAGAAGAAGAAGAGAGGAGGAGGAGAGGACGGAUGAAGUUUCAGGAGGAGCUGAAGAAGAUAGAGGAGGCCACUUGGGUAAG